RNAcentral lists this ribosomal RNA (443 nucleotides) under uncultured bacterium. RNAcentral describes it as "partial 16S ribosomal RNA". It matches the Rfam family "Bacterial small subunit ribosomal RNA", at positions 338 to 795 of the family's 1533-position model. The record is from RNAcentral.
CCUACGGGGGGCAGCAGUGGGGAAUAUUGGGCAAUGGGCGCAAGCCUGACCCAGCAACGCCGCGUGAAGGAAGAAGGCCCUCCGGUUGUAAACUUCUUUUUUCAGGGACGAAACAAGUGAUGGUACCUGACGAAUAAGCCACGGCUAACUACGUGCCAGCAGCCGCGGUAAUACGUAGGUGGCAAGCGUUAUCCGGAUUUACUGGGUGUAAAGGGCGUGUAGGCGGGGAGGCAAGGCAGAUGUGAAAACCACGGGCUCAACCUGUGGCCUGCAUUUGAAACUGUUUUUCUUGAGUGCGGGAGAGGCAAGCGGAAUUCGGUGUGUAGCGGUGAAAUGCGUAGAUAUACGGAAGAACACCGAUGGCGAAGGCAGAUUGCUGGACAGUAACUGACGCUGAGGCGCGAAAGCGUGGGGAGCGAACAGGAUUAGAUACCCCAGUAGUC